CAGCCGCCGCGGGAAUACGGAGGGUGCAAGCGUUAAUCGGAAUUACUGGGCGUAAAGCGUGCGUAGGCGGCUUGGUAAGUUAGAGGUGAAAGCCCGGAGCUCAACUCCGGAAUUGCCUUUAAGACUGCCGAGUUAGUAGGUGAGAGAGGUAAGUGGAAUUCCGAGUGUAGAGGUGAAAUUCGUAGAUAUUCGGAAGAACACCAGUGGCGAAGGCGGCUUACUGGCUCAUUCUAGACGCUGAGGUGCGAAAGCGUGGGGAGCAAACAGGAUUAGAUACCCGUGUAGUCCCUGUCUCUUAUAC
RNAcentral lists this ribosomal RNA (301 nucleotides) under uncultured bacterium. Its description in RNAcentral is "partial 16S ribosomal RNA". It matches the Rfam family "Bacterial small subunit ribosomal RNA", at positions 509 to 807 of the family's 1533-position model. The record is from RNAcentral.